AUCUACGGCCAUGAUGCCCUGAACAGGCCUGAUCCCAUCUGAUCUCGGAAGCUAAGCAGGGUCGGGCCUGGUUAGUACUUGGAUGGGAGACCACCUAGGAAAACCAGGUGCUGUAGGCG
Molecule: ribosomal RNA, 119 nt
Filed under: Pteropus alecto (black flying fox)
Lineage: Eukaryota; Metazoa; Chordata; Mammalia; Chiroptera; Pteropodidae
Source: RNAcentral